This 1256-nucleotide ribosomal RNA is filed under the name Klebsiella pneumoniae. RNAcentral describes it as "bacterial SSU rRNA". It matches the Rfam family "Bacterial small subunit ribosomal RNA", at positions 79 to 1332 of the family's 1533-position model. Lineage: Bacteria; Pseudomonadati; Pseudomonadota; Gammaproteobacteria; Enterobacterales; Enterobacteriaceae. The record is from RNAcentral.
UGCUCUCGGGUGACGAGCGGCGGACGGGUGAGUAAUGUCUGGGAAACUGCCUGAUGGAGGGGGAUAACUACUGGAAACGGUAGCUAAUACCGCAUAAUGUCGCAAGACCAAAGUGGGGGACCUUCGGGCCUCAUGCCAUCAGAUGUGCCCAGAUGGGAUUAGCUAGUAGGUGGGGUAACGGCUCACCUAGGCGACGAUCCCUAGCUGGUCUGAGAGGAUGACCAGCCACACUGGAACUGAGACACGGUCCAGACUCCUACGGGAGGCAGCAGUGGGGAAUAUUGCACAAUGGGCGCAAGCCUGAUGCAGCCAUGCCGCGUGUGUGAAGAAGGCCUUCGGGUUGUAAAGCACUUUCAGCGGGGAGGAAGGCGUUGAGGUUAAUAACCUUGUCGAUUGACGUUACCCGCAGAAGAAGCACCGGCUAACUCCGUGCCAGCAGCCGCGGUAAUACGGAGGGUGCAAGCGUUAAUCGGAAUUACUGGGCGUAAAGCGCACGCAGGCGGUCUGUCAAGUCGGAUGUGAAAUCCCCGGGCUCAACCUGGGAACUGCAUUCGAAACUGGCAGGCUAGAGUCUUGUAGAGGGGGGUAGAAUUCCAGGUGUAGCGGUGAAAUGCGUAGAGAUCUGGAGGAAUACCGGUGGCGAAGGCGGCCCCCUGGACAAAGACUGACGCUCAGGUGCGAAAGCGUGGGGAGCAAACAGGAUUAGAUACCCUGGUAGUCCACGCCGUAAACGAUGUCGAUUUGGAGGUUGUGCCCUUGAGGCGUGGCUUCCGGAGCUAACGCGUUAAAUCGACCGCCUGGGGAGUACGGCCGCAAGGUUAAAACUCAAAUGAAUUGACGGGGGCCCGCACAAGCGGUGGAGCAUGUGGUUUAAUUCGAUGCAACGCGAAGAACCUUACCUGGUCUUGACAUCCACAGAACUUUCCAGAGAUGGAUUGGUGCCUUCGGGAACUGUGAGACAGGUGCUGCAUGGCUGUCGUCAGCUCGUGUUGUGAAAUGUUGGGUUAAGUCCCGCAACGAGCGCAACCCUUAUCCUUUGUUGCCAGCGGUUAGGCCGGGAACUCAAAGGAGACUGCCAGUGAUAAACUGGAGGAAGGUGGGGAUGACGUCAAGUCAUCAUGGCCCUUACGACCAGGGCUACACACGUGCUACAAUGGCAUAUACAAAGAGAAGCGACCUCGCGAGAGCAAGCGGACCUCAUAAAGUAUGUCGUAGUCCGGAUUGGAGUCUGCAACUCGACUCCAUGAAGUCGGAAU